CGGAGGAUCCAAGCGUUAUCCGGAUUUAUUGGGUUUAAAGGGUGCGUAGGUGGAAGAAUAAGUCAGAGGUGAAAGCUAGCAGCUUAACUGUUAAAUUGCCUUUGAUACUGUUUUUCUUGAGUCUAGUUGGCGUUGGCGGAAUGUGACAUGUAGCGGUGAAAUGCGUAGAUAUGUCACAGAACACCGAUCGCGAAGGCAGCUAACGAAGCUAGUACUGACACUGAUGCACGAAAGCGUGGGGAGCAAACAGGAUUAGAUACCCUGGUAGUCCACGCCGUAAACGAUGAUAACUCGAACGUUGGCAAUAUACCGUUCAGCGUCCAAGCGAAAGCGUUAAGUUAUCCACCUGGGGAUACGAUCGCAAGGUUGA
Molecule: ribosomal RNA, 370 nt
Filed under: uncultured organism
Description: bacterial SSU rRNA
Rfam family: Bacterial small subunit ribosomal RNA
Source: RNAcentral